CAGUCGCCGCGGUAAUACGAAGGGGGCUAGCGUUGCUCGGAAUUACUGGGCGUAAAGGGAGCGUAGGCGGGUCGUUUAGUCAGAGGUGAAAUCCCGGGGCUCAACCUCGGAACUGCCUUUGAUACUGGCGACCUUGAGUAUGGGAGAGGUGAGUGGAACUCCGAGUGUAGAGGUGAAAUUCGUAGAUAUUCGGAAGAACACCAGUGGCGAAAGCGACUCACUGGCCCAUUACUGACGCUGAGGCUCGAAAGCGUGGGGAGCAAACAGGAUUAGAUACCCCUGAGUCCCUGUCUCUUAUACA
Molecule: ribosomal RNA, 301 nt
Filed under: uncultured bacterium
Lineage: Bacteria
Description: partial 16S ribosomal RNA
Rfam family: Bacterial small subunit ribosomal RNA
Source: RNAcentral